RNAcentral lists this ribosomal RNA (439 nucleotides) under Pseudomonas putida. Its description in RNAcentral is "bacterial SSU rRNA". It matches the Rfam family "Bacterial small subunit ribosomal RNA", at positions 62 to 494 of the family's 1533-position model. Lineage: Bacteria; Pseudomonadati; Pseudomonadota; Gammaproteobacteria; Pseudomonadales; Pseudomonadaceae. The record is from RNAcentral.
UCAGAUGAGAAGGAAGCUUGGCUCUUUCGAUUCAGCGGCGGACGGGUGAGUAAUGCCUAGGAAUCUGCCUGGUAGUGGGGGACAACGUUUCGAAAGGAACGCUAAUACCGCAUACGUCCUACGGGAGAAAGCAGGGGACCUUCGGGCCUUGCGCUAUCAGAUGAGCCUAGGUCGGAUUAGCUAGUUGGUGAGGUAAUGGCUCACCAAGGCGACGAUCCGUAACUGGUCUGAGAGGAUGAUCAGUCACACUGGAACUGAGACACGGUCCAGACUCCUACGGGAGGCAGCAGUGGGGAAUAUUGGACAAUGGGCGAAAGCCUGAAUCCAUCCCAUGCCCGCGUGUGUGAAGAAAGGGUCCUUCGGAUUGUAAAAGCACUUUUAGUUGGGAUGAAGGGCAUUAAAAUNNUUUUUUUUUGUUGGUUCUUGUUGUUUAUCUAUU